UAUAUAUGAGUAUUUUUGUACGUAAAUUUUUGAUAUUUAAGGUAUUAGUUUAAUUCUAAUAUAUAUAU
Molecule: transfer RNA, 68 nt
Filed under: Scolytinae sp. BMNH 1040146
Lineage: Eukaryota; Metazoa; Arthropoda; Insecta; Coleoptera; Curculionidae
Description: tRNA-Gln
Source: RNAcentral